RNAcentral lists this ribosomal RNA (460 nucleotides) under uncultured bacterium. Its description in RNAcentral is "partial 16S ribosomal RNA". It matches the Rfam family "Bacterial small subunit ribosomal RNA", at positions 338 to 795 of the family's 1533-position model. The record is from RNAcentral.
CCUACGGGAGGCAGCAGUGAGGAAUAUUGGUCAAUGGGCGGAAGCCUGAACCAGCCAAGUAGCGUGCAGGAUGACGGCCCUACGGGUUGUAAACUGCUUUUAUACGGGAAUAACGCGCCUUACGUGUAGGGCUUUGCAUGUACCGUAUGAAUAAGGACCGGCUAAUUCCGUGCCAGCAGCCGCGGUAAUACGGAAGGUCCGGGCGUUAUCCGGAUUUAUUGGGUUUAAAGGGAGCGUAGGCCGCAUGUCAAGCGUGCUGGGAAAUGGUCGGGCCAAACCCGGGCCUUGCAGCGCGAACUGGCGUGCUUGAGUGCGCGGGAAGCAGGCGGAAUUCGUCGUGUAGCGGUGAAAUGCUUAGAUAUGACGAAGAACCCCGAUUGCGAAGGCAGCUUGCUGCAGCGGAACUGACGCUGAUGCUCGAAAGCGCGGGUAUCGAACAGGAUUAGAUACCCUUGUAGUC